UACGAAGGGGGCGAGCGUUGCUGGGAAUUACUGGGCGUAAAGCGCACGUAGGCGGCUUUCUAAGUCGGGGGUGAAAUCCUGGAGCUCAACUCCAGAACUGCCUUCGAUACUGGAAAGCUCGAGUCCGGGAGAGGUGAGUGGAACUGCGAGUGUAGAGGUGAAAUUCGUAGAUAUUCGCAAGACCACCAGUGGCGAAGGCGGCUCACUGGCCCGGUACUGACGCUGAGGUGCGAAAGCGUGGGGAGCAAACAGG
Molecule: ribosomal RNA, 253 nt
Filed under: uncultured bacterium
Lineage: Bacteria
Description: partial 16S ribosomal RNA
Rfam family: Bacterial small subunit ribosomal RNA
Source: RNAcentral